UUGAGAAUACACAAGCUUAAAGAUUUAAGAAAUUUAGAGAUAUGUUUUAAACUUAGUAGAGGCUUAUUUUGGAUAAUUUACUUCUUUCUAGUUCUUUUAGAAUCUCAUACAUAUUUUUAUUCAUAUAAUAGCUGAUGGUCUGGAGUUUAACAUCGGGAUUCAGUUGGUGUUUUAGCAAUAUGUCAGUUCUGCUAGGAUGCG
Molecule: unclassified non-coding RNA, 201 nt
Filed under: Hevea brasiliensis (rubber tree)
Lineage: Eukaryota; Viridiplantae; Streptophyta; Magnoliopsida; Malpighiales; Euphorbiaceae
Source: RNAcentral